Molecule: ribosomal RNA, 546 nt
Filed under: Salmonella enterica
Lineage: Bacteria; Pseudomonadati; Pseudomonadota; Gammaproteobacteria; Enterobacterales; Enterobacteriaceae
Description: partial 23S ribosomal RNA
Rfam family: Bacterial large subunit ribosomal RNA
Source: RNAcentral
GGUUAAGCGACUAAGCGUACACGGUGGAUGCCCUGGCAGUCAGAGGCGAUGAAGGGCGUGCUAAUCUGCGAUAAGCGCCGGUAAGGUGAUAUGAACCGUUAUAACCGGCGAUACCCGAAUGGGGAAACCCAGUGUGACUCGUCACACUAUCAUUAACUGAAUCCAUAGGUUAAUGAGGCGAACCGGGGGAACUGAAACAUCUAAGUACCCCGAGGAAAAGAAAUCAACCGAGAUUCCCCCAGUAGCGGCGAGCGAACGGGGAGGAGCCCAGAGCCUGAAUCAGCAUGUGUGUUAGUGGAAGCGUCUGGAAAGACGCGCGAUACAGGGUGACAGCCCCGUACACAAAAGCGCAUGUGCUGUGAGCUCGAUGAGUAGGGCGGGACACGUGGUAUCCUGUCUGAAUAUGGGGGGACCAUCCUCCAAGGCUAAAUACUCCUGACUGACCGAUAGUGAACCAGUACCGUGAGGGAAAGGCGAAAAGAACCCCGGCGAGGGGAGUGAAAAAGAACCUGAAACCGUGUACGUACAAGCAGUGGGAGCACCCUU